AGCGGUGCGUGCACACGCUGAGCUCAUUAAUGACUUGGGUGCGUCUAAUUGUUGCUGCGUGUUUGAAUCGGUCACGCUGUCAUUUGUGUCCUCAAUACCGGCCAGCACACUCCUGUCACGGCUCUAGUUGUGCGUGCGUGUGUUUGUGCGUGCGCGUCUUCUUCUCCCUCUAGCCUGUAAACCCCCCCCCCCCCCCCCCCAAACACACACACACACACACACACCAGUCCCACCUCCCCUUUGCCCAAACUACAGUAAAACCCAUUCAAACGAUUCUCCGCAGUGCUGGAAGAGCGGAGCGAAGAAGAGAGGCAGAGGAGGCAGGAGGAGAGAGAGGAGGAGAACAGAGGAGCAAGCACGGUGCGUGUGCGUGGAGAGGGAGCGAGGGAGGGAGCUGGGGGUUAGGGGAAAACUGCAAAUUUGGUGGCCAGUGUUCCCAGUGCACACAGAGCUCAGCAGCGUCCGAGCAGCUCUCUGCUCUGCAGGACACGUUCGGACUCCAACAUGUUAAUAAUGAAGCCCCAUUAGUCAGAGUAGAGCCGAGGCUUCUCCGGGUUCCUCCAGGAUUCCACCAGACAAGAGUUACGAAAAGAUCAUCAGGCAUCAGAACUAUGUUGGUACAGCAGGCUGAGACACAGGACAGAGGGCUGAGAUCACAGGUCAUCAUUGUCCAGACACGUCCUGCAUGUUCUCCACCGGUUCCUCAGCAGUAUUUCCAUGUGUGAUUUUUUAGGCCGGGGGUGCAGGUCAUGCUGGGGUGAUGAGUCCAGAUGUUUCCUGACCAGAGUCACUUACAGAGGUUCUCUUCAUUUGUAUGAAUCCAUCAGGAUUCUUAAUUGAGCUCUUUUUAUGGCUCCAGUUUUGUCUUAUUAACAGUUUCAUUAUUUACCUUUUUAAUUGUUCAUUGUGAAAAGAAGAUAAAACAUCUCUCUUCCUGCUGCCCGCUACUCAAAUUAACUGCCUAUUUUUGCGUUUGAAUAUAUAGACUUGAUUGAGUGUAAUUAUCACUCCUACACUGUCAGCUCUGUUUUAAUGCAAUAAUUAGCAACACACACACAUUUAUUAAUUCCUCCUUUGUUGAGGAUCCAUAAAAACCUUUAGGAGAUUUCAACAGUAUUGAUAAGCUGAGGACUGUUGUUUUCAGCUUCUUUCAUUGUAAUAAAGAAGCAAGGGCCAAAUCUAAAUUACAUUAUAUGGUUUUUGGUGACCUUUGACCUCCUUCUCCCCCCUGAAGGGUGACUCUCCUCCAGGGUUUAAAUAACAGCUGUUUGCUGCUGGACAUACACAUGGUGCACGAGGAGUCACUGAAAUACCCAACCUGAACAUCCUGUUAAAGUCCUACAGUGACUCAAAAUAAAAAGGGAAACCUUAAAUGUGAUAAAACCAGUGGUCAAUGUGGGAGCACAGACGCCAAAGCGUUGCCCAACGUGCUCUGCUCUUCUGCUGCACCGCUGUAAUGAGAUGGAAGAAAAACGCAGCCAAGGCGCCAUCUCGAAGCUGCAGCUGGUGAAAUUUUGGGGUCAGGCCUUCGUUUAUGGCCCGAGGGCAGCGUUAAAAAUCAAGGACUCAAAGUAGAGUCGUCCUCGUCAUGCAGAAACCAUGAAUAUUUAUUUAAAAAACAGCAAGUGGGGAUUUUAGUAGCUGAAAUCUAAUCAAACACUGCUGACGCACAUUAUUGUGAGGAGCCGGGACCAGUGUGACCAUGGAGUGUCCUGGAAAAUAUAUUAUCACCAUAAAAACAUGUGGAAGUAAGAAAUAAAGUUGGGGUGUGCAAACAAACUCAGCAGCAGGACACCACCC
Molecule: long non-coding RNA, 1800 nt
Organism: Takifugu rubripes (torafugu)
Lineage: Eukaryota; Metazoa; Chordata; Actinopteri; Tetraodontiformes; Tetraodontidae
Source: Ensembl